Molecule: ribosomal RNA, 820 nt
Filed under: uncultured delta proteobacterium
Lineage: Bacteria; Deltaproteobacteria
Description: bacterial SSU rRNA
Rfam family: Bacterial small subunit ribosomal RNA
Source: RNAcentral
GGCAUGCGCAUCUACCAUGCAGUCGUACGAGAACACCCUAGCUUGCUAGGGUAAGUAAAGUGGCGCACGGGUGAGUAACGCGUGGGUAAUCUACCUUCGAAUUGGGGAUAACGUUGCGAAAGCGACGCUAAUACCGAAUAAUAUCCAAUUAUCUUCGGAUUUUUGGAUCAAGGGUGGCCUCUACAUGUAAGCUACUGUUUGAAGAUGAGCCCGCGUACCAUUAGCUUGUUGGUGGGGUAAUGGCCUACCAAGGCGACGAUGGUUAGCUGGUCUGAUAGGAUGAUCAGCCACACUGGAACUGACACACGGUCCAGACUCCUACGGGAGGCAGCAGUGAGGAAUUUUGCGCAAUGGGCGAAAGCCUGACGCAGCAACGCCGCGUGAGUGAUGAAGGCCUUCGGGUCGUAAAGCUCUGUCAAGUGGGAAGAACCUAUGUAAUGCCAACACCAUUAUGUAUUGACGGUACCACUGAAGGAAGCACCGGCUAACUCCGUGCCAGCAGCCGCGGUAAUACGGGGGGUGCAAGCGUUAUUCGGAAUCAUUGGGCGUAAAGAGCACGUAGGCGGCUUGGUAAGUCAGAUGUGAAAGCCCGGGGCUUAACCCCGGAAGUGCAUUUGAUACUGUCAGGCUUGAGUAUGGGAGAGGGAAGUGGAAUUCCUGGUGUAGAGGUGAAAUUCGUAGAUAUCAGGAGGAACACCGGUGGCGAAGGCGACUUCCUGGACCAAUACUGACGCUGAGGUGCGAAGGCGUGGGUAGCAAACAGGAUUAGAUACCCUGGUAGUCCACGCAGUAAACGUUGAUCACUAGGUGUAGCGGGUAU